Molecule: ribosomal RNA, 468 nt
Filed under: uncultured bacterium
Lineage: Bacteria
Description: partial 16S ribosomal RNA
Rfam family: Bacterial small subunit ribosomal RNA
Source: RNAcentral
GACGAACGCUGGCGGCGUGCUUAACACAUGCAAGUCGAACGGAAAGGCCCUGCUUUUGUGGGGUGCUCGAGUGGCGAACGGGUGAGUAACACGUGAGUAACCUGCCCUUGACUUUGGGAUAACUUCAGGAAACUGGGGCUAAUACCGGAUAGGAGCUCCUGCUGCAUGGUGGGGGUUGGAAAGUUUCGGCGGUUGGGGAUGGACUCGCGGCUUAUCAGCUUGUUGGUGGGGUAGUGGCUUACCAAGGCUUUGACGGGUAGCCGGCCUGAGAGGGUGACCGGCCACAGUGGGACAGAGAUCCGCCCCAGACUCCUCCGGGGGGCAGAAGGGGGGAAUUUUGAACAAGGGGCGGAAGCUUGAUGCAGCACCCCCGCGUGGGGGAUGGGGCCCUUCGGUUUUUAACCCCGUUUCGCCUGUGAAGAACGGGGCGGGAGGUUAGGGGGUAAAGAAGCCCGGCCAAGCUCGGGA